RNAcentral lists this ribosomal RNA (497 nucleotides) under uncultured bacterium. RNAcentral's name for it is "partial 16S ribosomal RNA". It matches the Rfam family "Bacterial small subunit ribosomal RNA", at positions 28 to 507 of the family's 1533-position model. The record is from RNAcentral.
GAUGAACGCUGGCGGCGUGCCUAAUACAUGCAAGUCGAGCGAACAGACGAGGAGCUUGCUCCUCUGACGUUAGCGGCGGACGGGUGAGUAACACGUGGAUAACCUACCUAUAAAACUGGGAUAACUUCGGGAAACCGGAGCUAAUACCGGAUAAUAUAUUGAACCGCAUGGUUCAAUAGUGAAAGACGGUUUUGCUGUCACUUAUAGAUGGAUCCGCGCCGCAUUAGCUAGUUGGUAAGGUAACGGCUUACCAUGGCGACGAUGCGUAGCCGACCUGAGAGGGUGAUCGGCCACACUGGAACUGAGACACGGUCCAGACUCCUACGGGAGGCAGCAGUAGGGAAUCUUCCGCAAUGGGCGAAAGCCUGACGGAGCAACGCCGCGUGAGUGAUGAAGGUCUUCGGAUCGUAAAACUCUGUUAUUAGGGAAGAACAAAUGUGUAAGUAACUAUGCACGUCUUGACGGUACCUAAUCAGAAAGCCACGGCUAACUACGUG